ACGACUCUCGGCAACGGAUAUCUCGGCUCUCGCAUCGAUGAAGAACGCAGCGAAAUGCGAUACUUGGUGUGAAUUGCAGAAUCCCGUGAACCAUCGAGUUUUUGAACGCAAGUUGCGCCCAAAGCCUUUCGGUUGAGGGCACGUCUGCCUGGGUGUCACGCAACAU
Molecule: ribosomal RNA, 166 nt
Filed under: Croton sellowii
Lineage: Eukaryota; Viridiplantae; Streptophyta; Magnoliopsida; Malpighiales; Euphorbiaceae
Description: 5.8S ribosomal RNA
Rfam family: 5.8S ribosomal RNA
About the family: 5.8S ribosomal RNA (5.8S rRNA) is a component of the large subunit of the eukaryotic ribosome. It is transcribed by RNA polymerase I as part of the 45S precursor that also contains 18S and 28S rRNA.
Source: RNAcentral